Molecule: long non-coding RNA, 3088 nt
Organism: Pezoporus occidentalis (night parrot)
Lineage: Eukaryota; Metazoa; Chordata; Aves; Psittaciformes; Psittacidae
Exons: 2
Source: RefSeq, a predicted model, not a curated record
UCGCCGGGGUGCGCCCCGCUGCAAAGCGGCCAGGAGGUAACAGCGUUAAUAUGGUUAUUAAGAUAUUUAAUCUCAUCCCCUCUUCAGAGGAACGCUCACGCUAGCGGCCCUGCGCCAGUAAGCUCCCGGCCGCAAGCAGCUGGCGUUGAGUUGCACAAAAACUAAACCCGAGCCUUAAUUUAAACGCACUUUCAAACAGCGAAUGCGCUCUCCCUGUCGAUGGACUUAUCCCAGUCGCGCUGCUGGUGUCAGGAAAAUGACCCAGGUUGGAAAAUCACAAAAGUCAAAUAAACAAAGGGUGUUAAGAAAGUCACAGAAGACAUCACAGAGCUACUGUGGUUUAUAAACACUCCAUAUCCUUUUUUUGUGUGGAAAUAAUAUUGCUGUGAGUUACAGCUCUUUUAUUAGAUGUCAGGUUAUGUUACUGCAGCUUUGCUGAGAGUCAGAGCAAUGAAUUUGGGUCUCUAUAAUCUGUUGUAUCCAGUUGCAGGAGCACAGUCGUAACCAAUGGCAUGCAGGCCACCUUCCAAUUAAAGCUAAACUCAAUUUUAAGGUAGUGUAUGCAAAUCUACCCUGAAAAACAAACCUCAUUAAGCUUUUUAUGUACAAAGGUGUAUAUUUUCUUCUCGUUUUGUUUAUCUCCAGUGUCAUUGGGGGUGUUCUGUCAAGGAAGAAACUAUUAGCCACUUGGCUCUUUGAUUUGAAAAUGAGACCCAGGUAUACAUGUUAACAGCUUUUAUCGAAACAGGAAUCUUAUGAGAACAACAUAUAUAGUUAGAUCUCAACUACUUUUUUGAAAGCAGAUGCAAACCUACGUAUUAAACUGUCCCUGAUCUGACCAAGCUGCCAAACUCAGGUGGCUGGCAGUGUACCUCACACCCAGGCAGCUAUACUGUCCUGAUUGUAGACCACAUGUUCAGAAAUUGCUUGUAUACAAAGGUUUGGAUGUAAAAAUCAACAUAUGUCCGCCUCCGUGUUGGCAUAACCAAUCCCAGCAGCCAUGCUCAGGCUGAAAAGGUAUUUUGCUAGUGUCGGAAUUUAUCCACUCAAAAUGCUAAGGCAUAAAGCAUUCUAUAAAUGGAAAGAAAUACAGAGCAUAAACUGCAGGCUAUUUGGAAAUCAGGUUUUGUUUCUCAAAGCAAACAUAAGCACCCAAGGCUCUGAGAUGAAACGAUGCUUACUGAAUGAAGACAUGGUCAGGCAGCCAGGCAGAUGGAAAAAGAAUCCAACAGUGUUAAGCUUGAUCCUGUUCAGCUUUGGGCAAAAUUUCAACCUCAAGGGUUAAUGCUUCUUAAAUACAAUUCAUUGUGUAAAUUCAGCCUCACACCUAAAUGCAUUAUAUUUGCUGCAUUACAUGCUUUGCGGUCUGUAGGGUUUUCCUCAGCCAUUUGGCUGAAAAUCAAGGACAAUGAGAGAAGAACAAUAUCAGUAUGAUCUCUGUGAUCAUGCACAUUGUGGUUCUCAGGAAAAAAAAAAUAAUUCAAAUUGACCAGUUUUGGAUUUUUUUAAAUGGACCAUUUAACCAAGCUGAGUUCCUCUGUUGGCUCUGAUUCAGAGCUCAGGUUUUCAUGGUAAAUUGCAGUUUAUUUUUUAAAAAAGAAAAAGAAAGUACAUCCCCUUUAAUUCUAAAUGUCAAUACACCGAAAUUUGAAACAGUUUAACAAAACCUCUCUGAAAGUUGAUCCAGAUUAAUAUUUAAUCAUUCAGCAUUCCUGUCAUCUGGAAGCUUGUAAGCAUAGGAAAUUGAAUGUGCUGUCAAGUAGGUUUUUAGUUUUCAUUGAAGGAGAAUAUACUAUUUUUUGGGGAAGAGUAAACUGCCACUAGGAGUGGUCUACUGAAAGAGUUAGUAUACGGCUAGUUUACAGUCCUACUCACUAACUUCACACUAUAGACGUGCAUCCAGUUAGGUAGAAUUUAUGUAUUAUUCAGGUUGCUUUGCGCACAUUGCGGCACUUUGGGUACAAAAUGCAUGAGAGUGCAAACAGCGAAUGAAGGCUGUGUCUACAUUAGGACCAAAAUGGUGCUGAGAGCCCAACAUCUGCACUCCAUGUGUUUCAGGAGCUUUUAUUUCAGAGUAGCUAUAAUGUGCUCCCAGGGACCCAAUGCCCAUUAGCAGCUGAAGCAGAUCAUUCAGUUUAGCUCCUGCAGAAUAACCUUGUGUUAGGCAGUGUGAACCCAAGCACAGUAAAUGGGGAGAAUCAAGAAACUAUUUUCAGAAGCACAGUCCUAUUCUGAACUGUAAUGCUACUGUAGACAAACCCAAGCAGAGCAUGGCUUCCAUGGAAGAGCCAGUCUGAUGCCAGCCUAGGGGCACUGUGAGUCUGGGCUGACCACUGGCCUGGAGACCUGCUACAGGAUGGCUGGGGGACUCCCUGAGUUAGCAGAGGUUGGUACUUCCCAUUUUAUGGAAGAACAGAUGCAGAAAAGCACUCUUCAUCAUGAUGCCUGUGGCACCAUUCAGACUGCUACAGCACUUGAUGCAGAAGUAAGAGACUUUCUUCAGAACAUGCACAGUGCUCUGUUAUGAAAACCUCAUUAUAAAGACUGCAUCGAGAACUGGCCCUGAAGCUCUUCUUCCCUCAGCCUGUUUGCCAUGAGAAACAGUAAGUUAAAUAGCAUCGGAAAUGCUGGACUUCUAUAUGUAAUGAGCAUGUGGCCCAUAGAAUUCACUAAGCAAGAGGUCAGUGGGCUUAAUGAAUUUAACCAGGCCUUUAAAAAGACUUUAUAUUACCAAUAACAUUUUCAACUUCCUUGUGCCUGCUGAAGUUAAUGCAGAACUUUUGAAACAAAUUUCAGGAUUUGGGAAGGGAUGUGCUAUUUUUUGCUUCAGUGUUGCAUUUUUUAGCUAUGUACAUUGCUGUAUCAGCUUCUGGCUUUGAGUGCACUUAUGACCAAAAAGAAGAGAAUCAGGUAAAUGGUUUGCUCAUGUUGCAAUUAAUGUCAUGUUGCUGGUGUGUUUGGCAUCUUCUUCAUAAGAAAGCAACAGUCCUACUGUUCCACCAGCUUGCAACAUAAAAUAGAGAAAACUGUGAGGUUCAGCAAGUGUGCUUUUGCUCUUUACAUAGCAAUUAAGACUGAGUGGAAAACA